Long non-coding RNA from Mus pahari (shrew mouse), 1457 nucleotides. RefSeq lists it as uncharacterized. NCBI's taxonomy places the organism in Eukaryota, Metazoa, Chordata, Mammalia, Rodentia, Muridae. The transcript is spliced from 3 exons. The record is from RefSeq and is a predicted model, not a curated record.
UGUGGGUGCUGUGUGUCUCCUCUGAGGGAGGCUCCUCGGUGGCCCUGCCAGUGGCUCCAGCUGUGAAGGGCUUGCUCUUCUCCACAUUCAGGGUCAGGUGGCUUUGAAUGCACCAUCUCUCUUAGUCAACAUGACAACGAUUUGAGGCAGGAAUAAGCACCAUCGUCCUUUCCAGUCUAAUUAACACAAUAAUUCACUUGGUUGCUCAAGACCAUAUCUGAAUAGCAGCUACCCCAAGAUGGUAAGAUGACAGAUGUCUGGCUUUCUUGCAAUGUGGAGUGAGCAACUUUGAUCAGAAGGAGGCAUCAGGCACGUCACAGAAGGGAGAGAACUCAGGAAGACUAAACACAGCCUCUAUGACCAUAAGACAAUGGGUGCAAUAUACAAGGACCUUGUGAAGAAGUAAGAUAGAAUACAGGAGUGAAAACAGGACACUCUACAGUGUUUAUAGCCUUAUGACCAGAAGGCAAUAUAGCCUAGAGCAUCUUUCCCCUUGGCCAAAUGGAUCUGCUGCAUGUGCACAUGCUAGAGUGACAUAUGUAGUACCUGAUGUCAUCACAUGACCCUCAUGAGACCAUACAGUACCAUCUGGGAUCUAGGCCAGCUGUGAAUGACUUAAGGCACAGCUAACAAUUCUGGCUCUUUAGGACUACACCUGAAGUAACACCGAUAAUUCUAGGACUUGGGAGAAGGGGAGGGGAGCUGGCUUCCUGAUCCUCUUCUAGCCCAAGGUUAUCUGUCACGUGAGAGCAGAAUUGCAGCCUGAUGUCUCCUGCACAGCUACGUACAGAGGCUGGAGGCAGCUGGUGUGACCAUAUAAGACAGCAAGGGAGGACAUGAAUAGAAGAGCAGAGGAAAAAGAAAAGCAGAGGAAAACAGUCCAUUUCAAGGCAGGCAGUUCUGUAUCCACACACGGCUUCCAUCAUUUCCUCCUCCAUAAGGCCUUAACAUCAUACCCAGAUGCUGGGAGGCACGCAACCUGAAGCAAGGAGAUAGGCAGUCUGGGUUCUCCAUUUCAGCCUCAGUAUCCUCAUUUAACACGACGAAAUAGCUAAUAGAUUCUGUGAUUCGGGAACCAGAGGCUGCAAGCUAAGGUCUUACAUAACAGGUGCGGCCUCGCCUCCCUACCCCACAGUUCUAAAAGAAAUGUUAUUGUGGGUACCAAUCUGCGCGAAUAAUGCUGCAGAGCUGGACAGUCAGGGCAGGGAACCUGAGCCUCUCCAGAGAGGCAGAGCAAAGCCUUUGCCUUCAAAAAGAGACAGGCGAGGGGUGCAGUUUUGCUUUCAAGCCCCAAGGUGUUGGCCUUUGCCUAAAGGUAAUCUCUUUCUUAGAGCGCCACCUACUGGUACAGGGGUUUGCAGCAAUGCCUAGCCUCGGCUUGUACAAAGUACAUAAUCUCGACCUCAGUGUGUUUUAGAAAAAAGUAUUGCAUGAUACUUAAAAACAAGAUCUCUCUC